CCUACGGGAGGCAGCAGUGGGGAAUAUUGGNCAAUGCGCGCAAGCCUGAUCCAGCACAUACCGCGUGUGUGAAGAAGGCCUUACGGCUCUAAAGCGAUGUCAGUCUGGAAGAAAUAAAGCUGUGUUCAAUGGGNAAGAGAAUUGACGUUACUCUCAGAAGAAGCACCGGCUAACUCCGUGCCAGCAGCCGCGGUAAU
This 197-nucleotide ribosomal RNA is filed under the name endosymbiont of Thyasira vulcolutre. RNAcentral describes it as "partial 16S ribosomal RNA". It matches the Rfam family "Bacterial small subunit ribosomal RNA", at positions 338 to 524 of the family's 1533-position model. The record is from RNAcentral.